This 459-nucleotide ribosomal RNA is filed under the name uncultured bacterium. RNAcentral's name for it is "partial 16S ribosomal RNA". It matches the Rfam family "Bacterial small subunit ribosomal RNA", at positions 338 to 795 of the family's 1533-position model. The record is from RNAcentral.
CCUACGGGAGGCUGCAGUGAGGAAUAUUGGUCAAUGGGCACGAGCCUGAACCAGCCAAGUCGCGUGAGGGAAGACGGUCCAAUGCAUCGUAGACCUCUUUUGUCGGGGAGCAAAAGACGCCACGCGUGGCGUUCCGAGUGUACCUGGAGAAAAAGCAUCGGCUAACUCCGUGCCAGCAGCCGCGGUAAUACGGAGGAUGCGAGCGUUAUCCGGAUUUAUUGGGUUUAAAGGGUGCGCAGGCGGUCUGUUAAGUCAGCGGUCAAAGCGCGGGGCUCAACCCCGGCGCGCCGUUGAAACUGGGAGUCUCGAGUGGGAUGGAAGUAUGCGGAAUGCGCGGUGUAGCGGUGAAAUGCAUAGAUAUCGCGCAGAACCCCGAUUGCGAAGGCAGCGUGCCGGCUCCACACUGACGCUGAGGCACGAAAGCGUGGGUAUCGAACAGGAUUAGAUACCCGAGUAGUC